RNAcentral lists this ribosomal RNA (442 nucleotides) under uncultured bacterium. Its description in RNAcentral is "partial 16S ribosomal RNA". It matches the Rfam family "Bacterial small subunit ribosomal RNA", at positions 338 to 795 of the family's 1533-position model. The record is from RNAcentral.
CCUACGGGGGGCAGCAGUGGGGAAUAUUGGGCAAUGGGCGCAAGCCUGACCCAGCAACGCCGCGUGAAGGAAGAAGGCUUUCGGGUUGUAAACUUCUUUUAAGAGGGAAGAGCAGAAGACGGUACCUCUUGAAUAAGCCACGGCUAACUACGUGCCAGCCGGCGCGGUAAUACGCAGCGGGCAAGGUUUGUCCGGAUUUACUGGGUGUAAAGGGCGUGCAGCCGGGAAGACAAUGCAGGUGUGAAAUCCCGGGGCUCAACCGCGUAACCGCCUUUGAAACUGGUGUUCUUGUGUACCAGAGAGGUAAGCGGAAUGCGUUGUGUAGCGGUGAAAUGCAUAGAUAUAAGGAAGAACACCAGUGGCGAAGGCAGAUGACUGGACGGCAACUGACGGUGAGGCGCGAAAGCGUGGGGAGCAAACAGGAUUAGAUACCCUAGUAGUC